Molecule: ribosomal RNA, 1373 nt
Filed under: uncultured bacterium
Lineage: Bacteria
Description: bacterial SSU rRNA
Rfam family: Bacterial small subunit ribosomal RNA
Source: RNAcentral
AGAGUUUGAUCCUGGCUCAGAACGAACGCUGGCGGCGUUGAUAAGACAUGCAAGUCGAACGAGAGAAUUGCUAGCUUGCUAAUAAUUCUCUAGUGGCGCACGGGUGAGUAACACGUGAGUAACCUGCCCCCGAGAGCGGGAUAGCCCUGGGAAACUGGGAUUAAUACCGCAUAGUAUCGAAAGAUUAAAGCAGCAAUGCGCUUGGGGAUGGGCUCGCGGCCUAUUAGUUAGUUGGUGAGGUAACGGCUCACCAAGGCGAUGACGGGUAGCCGGUCUGAGAGGAUGUCCGGCCACACUGGAACUGAGACACGGUCCAGACACCUACGGGUGGCAGCAGUCGAGAAUCAUUCACAAUGGGGGAAACCCUGAUGGUGCGACGCCGCGUGGGGGAAUGAAGGUCUUCGGAUUGUAAACCCCUGUCAUGUGAGAGCAAAUUAAAAAGAUAGUACCACAAGAGGAAGAGACGGCUAACUCUGUGCCAGCAGCCGCGGUAAUACAGAGGUCUCAAGCGUUGUUCGGAAUCACUGGGCGUAAAGCGUGCGUAGGCUGUUUCGUAAGUCGUGUGUGAAAGGCGCGGGCUCAACCCGCGGACGGCACAUGAUACUGCGAGACUAGAGUAAUGGAGGGGGAACCGGAGUUCUCGGUGUAGCAGUGAAAUGCGUAGAUAUCGAGAGGAACACUCGUGGCGAAGGCGGGUUCCUGGACAUUAACUGACGCUGAGGCACGAAGGCCAGGGGAGCGAAAGGGAUUAGAUACCCCUGUAGUCCUGGCAGUAAACGGUGCACGAAUGGUGUGCGGGGAAUCGGCCCCCUGCGUGCCCGGAGCUAACGCGUUAAGCGUGCCGCCGGGGGAGUACGGUUGCCAAGAUUAAAACUCAAAGAAAAUUGACGGGGACCCGCACAAGCGGUGGAGUAUGUGGCUUAAUUCGAUGCAACGCGAAGAACCUUACCUGGGCUUGACAUGUAAUGAACAACAUGUGAAAGCAUGCGACUCUUCGGAGGCGUUACACAGGUGCUGCAUGGCCGUCGUCAGCUCGUGUCGUGAGAUGUUUGGUUAAGUCCAGCAACGAGCGCAACCCCUGUUGCCAGUUACCAGCACGUGAAGGUGGGGACUCUGGCGAGACUGCCCAGAUCAACUGGGAGGAAGGUGGGGACGACGUCAGGUCAGUAUGGCCCUUAUGCCCAGGGCUGCACACGUACUACAAUGCCCAGUACAGAGGGGGCCGAAGCCGCGAGGCGGAGGAAAUCCUAAAAACUGGGCCCAGUUCGGACUGUAGGCUGCAACCCGCCUACACGAAGCCGGAAUCGCUAGUAAUGGCGCAUCAGCUACGGCGCCGUGAAUACGUUCCCGGGUCUUGCACACACCGCCCGUCA